RNAcentral lists this ribosomal RNA (744 nucleotides) under uncultured archaeon. Its description in RNAcentral is "bacterial SSU rRNA". It matches the Rfam family "Archaeal small subunit ribosomal RNA", at positions 1 to 746 of the family's 1478-position model. The record is from RNAcentral.
UUCCGGUUGAUCCUGCCGGAGGCCAUUGCUAUCGGAGUCCGAUUUAGCCAUGCUAGUCGUGCGAGUUCAGACUCGCGGCACCGAGCUCAGUAACACGUGGCCAAACUACCCUACAGAGACGGAUACCCUCGGGAAACUGAGGUCAACCCGUCAUACCGAUCUCAGGCUUGAAUCGCAGAGAUCACAAAACGCCCCGGCGCUGUAGGAUGUGGCUGCGGUUGAUUAGGUAGACGGUGGGGUAACGGCCCACCGUGCCCAUAAUCAGUACAGGUUGUGAGAGCAAGAACCUGGAGACGGAAUCUGAGACGAGAUUCCGGGCCCUACGGGGCGCAGCAGGCGCGAAACCUUUACACUGCACGCCAGUGCGAUAAGGGAAUCCCAAGUGCGUAGGCAUCGAGCCUACGCUUUUGUCCACCGUAGGGAGGUGGACGAAUAAGGGCUGGGCAAGACCGGUGCCAGCCGCCGCGGUAAUACCGGCAGCCCGAGUGAUGGCCGAUCUUAUUGGGCCUAAAGCGUCCGUAGCUGGCCGCACAAGUCCAUCGGAAAAUCCACCCGCUCAACGGGUGGGCGUCCGGUGGAAACUGUGUGGCUUGGGACCGGAAGGUGCGACGUGUACGUCCGGGGUAGGAGUGAAAUCCCGUAAUCCUGGACGGACCGCUGAUGGCGAAAGCACGUCGCGAGAACGGAUCCGACAGUGAGGGACGAAAGCUAGGGUCUCGAACCGGAUUAGAUACCCGGGUAGUC